RNAcentral lists this long non-coding RNA (730 nucleotides) under Cavia porcellus (domestic guinea pig). Its description in RNAcentral is "lncRNA (ENSCPOG00000040502.1)". Lineage: Eukaryota; Metazoa; Chordata; Mammalia; Rodentia; Caviidae. The record is from RNAcentral.
CCAGAUUUUCCUGUCAACCAGAAAGGGAGGCUGGGAUUGGUUUCCGGAUCCUGGGAAAAACUUACCUCAUUGGUCAACCUGGGCAACGCCCUGCAUGAUACAGCUGUGUAUACAUCCUUGCUGUGAGUGGGGAGCUGUGCUGCUGGUGCCACAGAGUGAGGAAUCCCUUCUGGAGGAGGCAGGAGGAGAGGGCCAACCUCCCCUCAGCACAGCCUGCAGAGUCAGGUUUGCCUGGACUUGGGAAACUUCACUCUGCACCAUGCCUUUAGGUACAGCUGGCCAGUUGGCCUUUUCCCUGGCCUCCAAGGUAGCAUCAGCAGUGGCCAAAGUCGGUGGAGAGGCCACUGGUUCUUCCCUGUAUGACCUCUCAGCACAAGGGCUCACUCUGGUAUCCCAGACUGCCAGUCCUGCUGUGACUGCCCUUGGGCAAUGGCUGGAGACACUGAAUGUUGGUGGCAUCCUGCAGGGGUCCUCUGAUGCUACUUCUAUGGCUGCUUCCUCAGUUGGAGGUAAGUGGACCUGAGUGACAGACACCCCACCUCAGGCUCAUUGAGAAGGGACAUCACAGUGACAGUCUCACUGUGUGUUUGAACCAGUCCUGGCUUGGCAAGGAGAGACAGGGCAAAAGGUAACUUCUAAUUUCCCCACAAAAUCCCCAGUCAACCAGCCGAGCAGCCCACAGGCCAAUGAACAAAGAACAAGCAAAACCUGGAAUAGGUGUUGGAUCUUC